This 1906-nucleotide ribosomal RNA is filed under the name Phellinus laevigatus. RNAcentral's name for it is "small subunit ribosomal RNA". It matches the Rfam family "Bacterial small subunit ribosomal RNA". Lineage: Eukaryota; Fungi; Basidiomycota; Agaricomycetes; Hymenochaetales; Hymenochaetaceae. The record is from RNAcentral.
AGUAGGAAUUUAAUUUUGGUUCCGAUUGAACGUUUUUCAGUAGUUUUAAGACAUGCAAAUCGUUUGUAUGCGGUUAAUCUAUAUUAACGGUAAUGUUAAUUUUUGAUUUAAGUGUACAAGGUGUACGGGUGAGUAUUGUAAAUGAGAUGCCCUUGUUGACUUCAGAAAUAGAAGAUAGUUCUUUUCAAUUAAAAAAUAAAAAAAGGAGAUAAAAAACUUGUUUUUAUAAAAUUAAUGAGAUUUUUCAGGAUAAAAAGAUGUCUUAGAAAGUUAACAAAGAACAAAACAAAAAGUUAAACUUUAAAGAAAGAAAGGGAAAUUUUCCGCAAUAAGGAUUCAAUUUACGUUCGAUUAGGUAGUUGGGAGGGUAAAGGCCUACCAAGCCGACGAUCGAUAGUCAUGUUUGACAGAACUAAUGACCACAUUGGGAAUGAAAUCUCCCAAGUAGCGUUUAGCUACCAGCAGUCAAGAGUAUUAGUCAAUGCUCGCAAGAGUGAACUAGCUAACUGAAAUCCUUGAUKUKCCAUCGAGGAUAACGUAAGGGAAAAUAAUGAUGUUACCUUACUAGUAGUGUCGUCCAAGUGCUCGUGCCAGAAGACUCGGUAAGGCGAGAGACGCAAACGUUAUUCGUCUUGAUCAGGCGUAAAGGGUUUGUAGGCGGCUUUAAGUAUCCAAUUUUAAGUUUACUAUUAUAAUUUUAUUUUUAAUAUUGUUAUAAUAUUUAUUAAAGGAUCAAUUAAAGCUAGAAUCUAACAGGGGUUAAAACAAUGCUUAAAGUAGGAGUACGAACCAUAGAUAUUAAGUAGAGUGUUAAGGGCGAAGGCUUUUAUCCAAUAAAGAUUGACGCUGAGAAACGAAGGUGAGGACAGAAAAAAGGAUUAGAGACCCUUGUAUCCCUCACUGUCAACGAUGAAUGGUAGUUACUAGGGAGAAAUAACCUAGAGACGAUGUUAACACGAAAACCAUUCCGCCUUGUGAGUACGACUGCAAAGUUGAAAACAAAAAAAUUAGUCGGUUUCGGAGCAAACGAAGUGAAGCAUGUUGUUUAAUGCGAUAAUCCGCGUAAAACCUUACCAGUUCUUGUAUAUAAACUUUAUUAAUUUAAAGGAGUUAUUUGUUAUUUAUCUUGUAAGUGGCGGUAUUUUGUUAAAAAUGCUACCCUUAAUAAAUAACAAGUGCUUAAUACAGGUGUUGCAUGGCUGUCUUCAGUCCGUAUCGUGAGGAGUGAGGUUAAAUCCGUUAACGGACGCAAUCCCUAUUGUUAAUUUUUACUUAACAAUUUAUGAUUCUGAUAAAGUAUCAUUUGGGGCUAAGACAAGCCCUUAUGGCCCUAAUGAACUGGGCUAUAGACGUGCUAUAAAGAUUUUUACAAAGUGACGCGAAACUUCUCUUACCUUACUUAUUUAAUUUAAGGAAAGGUUGUUUUUAUUAGUAACAGUUUAAUAUAAAUUAAAUUGGUUUAAUGUUUUUAAAUCAAUUGUUUGAUUGAUUUAAAAACAAAUAAAAACUUAAAGAGGUUAAGGAAGAGCUAAUCAUUAAAAAAAAUCAAAAUAAUAAAUUAAUGUUACGGAUUGUCACCUGAAACUUGGUGGCAUGAAGGAGGAAUUUCGAGUAAUCGUUGAUCAUUAGGCGCAACGGUGAAGCAAGAAUCCGAGAUGAACUAACCGUCUGUCGCUGGGAAGGAGUUUAUUUUGGUGGAAAAUAAGUUAAGGUUUUAAUUUUAUAGUUCCCAUCCCACUUUUUUGUGGGAAGAACACUCAAAAGUUUUAUAUUUUUAUUAAUAUAAAAAAGUUUAAAUAUUAAUUAUUAUUAAAUUUAUUUAAGCCAUUUGAGCGACAUCUCAAAAGUCAUAGCAGGGUAGUUGUACUGGAAGGUGCAGCUGGAUAUUUAAUAAGUAAGUUAACCC